RNAcentral lists this long non-coding RNA (16994 nucleotides) under Zea mays. RNAcentral's name for it is "long non-coding RNA (ZMAY_LNC003285)". The stretch from base 2027 to 2098 matches the Rfam family "tRNA". Lineage: Eukaryota; Viridiplantae; Streptophyta; Magnoliopsida; Poales; Poaceae. The record is from RNAcentral.
AGUGAUUACAAUCCAGCGUGAAUAGUACGGGGAUACUGUUCACCUAUUUAUAGGCACGGGACGCAGCCCGGGUAAAAGUACAUUUAUAACCUUUAACAUUUGUUCAUAAUCAUAACAUAAAUCACUAGGGACUAACUAGUCUUUUCCUCCUCGGUUUGGUUUGAGCCGAAGCUGGUGACAACUUUGGCACUUGCCAUCGUUGCUUCUAGACGAGAUCUUCGCCUUGAGGACCUUCGACAGAGAAAAAUAAGAACCUUCAGACGAGAUUCAGAAUCACUUUGCCGAUGGUGUCUUUGUCUUGAGGACCUUCGGCGGAGAAGAAGACCACCAACAAGAGGUAUUUCCCCAUGACUAAUGCAACCAAUUUUCUAUUUGCUACAAAUUUUCAAAAGAAGCUUAACACAUCACACAUCCCUUAAUAUAGCGAUUAUAUCGCAAAUACAACCCAUCAAAAUAAAUAUACUAUAUUUCUUAAUCAGACCAUUGAUAUGGUACUUUGAUUUGAUUAUAUGGUGCGUCAUUAACAACCUUAUAAUCAUAAUGAACUCAAAAGCAAAAAAAAGAAUGAAGCAUAGUGAAAUCCAAUAGCACUGACAUAACUAUGUCUUAAUUUCCCGGCUAAAAAGGUGAACAUAAAUGCAAGCCAAAAAAAUUCACACCAAAACACAUUAGUCUGAAUGCAUAAAUAGCAAUGAUUGAUUCAAAAUACAAAAACAUAAAUUCAAAUCAAAUUUCCCUUCCAUUGAAUUCAUUUCGUAGAUACCCCCACUUAGUAAAGGAGCAAGGUGCAUCAUUUAAUAUAUAAAAAGUAGAUCAAUUUUAACACAACUAUUUUGGAAUGGUAGCAAAACCAUAGAAAAAACUGAAAUAGUGCAUUGGAGAUAAGCUAUGAUAAAUAUAUUAUCUAGAAAUAACAUACAAAAAAUUGAUUCCAUGGUGUAGUGGUUACCACUCCAGACUUUGAAUCUAGCAACUUGGGUUCGAAUCCCGGUGAGGACCUACUUUUGCGCUUUAUAGAAAGGAAAUUGGUGAUGUAUAAUUAAAUGGUCCACUUUUUUAUUUUUAAAAACUACAAUCUUAUUUCUAUAGUUGACUUAUAGAAAAGGAAUUGGUGAUUUGUACUUAGAAGGUCCAACCUUUUUUUUAAAAAAGUACAAUCUUAUUUUUGUAGUAAUAUCAUAAGAAUAGGAUUGCACAAAAAAUAACAUUUAAAAUGUUUUUGUAGUACAAACAUAACAUCUAAAAUAGCAACAAUUGUUCCUUUCUUUCUGCAACUAGGGUUCGGUAGAGGAGUAGGAUUGCACAAAAAAUACAUGACAAAAAUAGGACAACUUGGCUACUGAGAAAGAUCAUACAUGCAAUAAAAAAAGGGAGAUGACAAAUUUGGUUUCUUUGUCCACCCCAUAGAUGAACAAGUUGGAUUGUGAUACUCAAUAUGAGUGGUAUUUACACAUGACCAACGCAACUAGUUUUCUAUUUGCUACAAAUUUGUAAAAGAAGCUUAACACAACAUACAUUCCUUAAUAUAGGGAUUAUAUCGCAAAUACAACCUGCCAAAGCAAAUAUACGAUAUUUCUUAAUCAAACCAUUGAUAUCGUACUUUGAGUUGACUAUAUGGUGUGUCAUUAACAACCUUAUAAUCAUAAUGAACUCAGAAGCAAAAAUAGAAUGUAGCAUAAUUAAAUGCAAUAGCACUAACAUAAUUAUGUCCUGACUUCCUUGCUAAAAGGUGAACAUAAAUGCAAGCCCAAAAAAUUCACACCAAAACACAACAGUCUUAAUGCAUAAAUAGCAAUGAUUGAUUCAAAAUACACAAAUUAAAUUGGAAUCAAAUUUCUGUUCCAUUGAAUUCAUUUCGUAAACACCACUUAGUAAAGGAGCAAGGUGCAUCAUUUAAUAUGUAAAAAAGUAGAUCAAUUCUAACAGAACUAUUUUGGAAUGGUAGCAAAACCAUAGAAAAAACUGAAAUAGUGCUAUGGAGAUAAGCAAUGAUAAAUAUAUUAUCUAGGAAUAACAUACAAAGAUUGGUUCCAUGGUGUAGUGGUUAUCACUCCAGACUUUGAAUCUGGCAACCUGGGUUCGAAUCCCGGUGGGACCUACUUUUAUUUUUUAUAGAAAGGUAAUUGGUGAUGUAUCAAGUGGUCCAACCUUUUGAUUUUUAAAAACUACAAACUUAUUUCUGUAGUUGACAUAUAGAAAAGUAAUUGGUGAUGUGUAUCUAGAUGGUCCAACCUUUUUAUUUUUAAAAGUACAAUCAUAAUUUUGUAGUUCACUUAUUUAAUAAUUUAUGUGUUGUAUGAUUCUAAGAUAGGAGUGAUAGGUACAUAGGAAUAUCUUAUUGCUAUUGCCCCUUGUAGUGUGCAACUAGACUUGGGUAGAAUAGUCAGAAAAAUAUUGAAUAGGAAUAGGACAACUUGGCCAGUGAGAAAUGACAUACAAGUGACAAAAAAGGAGAAGAUAAUUUUGGUGUUUAGUGACCACCAAAGAGAUAAGUUGGUUGGAUAGUGAUGCUCAAGAGACAAAAGAUAAGCAAUGUACAUGAGAGAGACAACAUCUUCUCACAUGACCAAUAUGAAACUAAUUUUCUAUUUUCUACACAUUUGUAUAAGAUUCUUGACAUGCCAUAUAUUUCUUAAUACGCAGAGUAUUUUGCAAAUAUAACCAACCCAAGUAUCCAAGAUACCAUAUUUCAUAAUCAAACAAUUGAUAUGGUACUUCCAAUUGAUAAUAUUGUGUGUCAUUGACAACCCUAUCACACUGAUACACUCAAAAGGAGGAAAAUAUUAUGGAUAAUUAAACUUAGUAGCGCUGACAUAAUAUUGUUUUGAUUUCCAUGAUAAAAAUGGUGAACAUAAACGCAAGUCCAACAAAUUCACCCAAAAACACAUCUAGAAAGUAAAACUAGCAAGAAUUAUCCCUUGCCUUUUGCAACUACGGUUGGGUAGAGGAGAUAGGAUUGCACAAAAAAUACAUAACAAAAAUAGGACAACUUGCCUAGUUUGAAAGAUCAUACAUGCAAUAGAAAAAGGGAGAUGACAAAUUUUGUUUUUGUUGGCCAAGCAAAAGAUAAGCAAAUUGGAUUGUGAUACUCAAUAUGAGUGGUAUUUCCACAUGACCAAUGCAACUUGUUUUCUAGUGAAUCUUAACACAUCACAUAUUCCUUAAUAUAGGGAGUAUACCGCAAAUACAGCUUAGCAAAGCAAAUAUAUGAUAUUUCUUAAUCAAACCAUGGAUUUGGUACUUCAAAUUGACUAUAUGUUGUGUCAUUAACAACCUUAUAAUCAUAAUGAACUAACAAGCAAAAAAGAAAGAAGCAUAGUGAACCUAAUAGCACUUACAUAACUAUGUCUUGAUUUCCUUGCUAAAAGGUGAACAUAAAUGCAAGCCCAAAAAAUCACAACAAAACACAAUAGUCUGAAUGCCUAAAUAGCAAUGAUUGAUUCAAAAUACAAAAAAAUAAAUUGGAAUUAAAUUUCCCUUCCAUUGAAAUCAUUUCGUAGACACCACUUAGUAAAGGAGCAAGAUGCAUCAUUUAAUAUAUAAAAAUUAGAUCAAUUCUAACACAACUUUUGAAAAUUGAGCGGAACCAUAGAAAAAUUGAAAUAGUGCUAUGGAGAUAAGCUAAGAUAAAUAUAUUAUCUAGGAAUAACAUACAUAAAUUGGUUCCAUGGUGUAGUGGUUAUCACUCUAGACUUUGAAUCUAGCAACCUGGGUUCGAAUCCCGGUGGGACCUACUUUUAGUUUUUAUAGAAAGGGAAUUGGUGAUGUGUAAUCAAAUGGUCCAACCUUUUGAUUUUUGAAAAGUACAAUCUUAUUUUUGUAGUUGACUUAUAGAAACGUAAUUGGUGAUGUGUACUCAGAUGGUCCAACCUUUUUAUUUUUAAAAGUACAAUCACAUUUUUGUAGUUCGCUUAUUUAAUAUGUUAUGUGUUGUAUGAUUCUAAGAUAGGAGUGAGAGGUACAUAGGAAUGUCUUAAUGCUAUUGCCCCUUGUAGUGUGCAACUAGACUUGGGUAGAAUAGUCAGAAAAAUAUUGAAUAGGAAUAGGACAACUUGGCCAGUGAGAAAUGACAUACAAGUGACAAAAAAGGAGAAGAUAAUUUUGGUGUUUAGUGACCACCAUAGAGAUAAAUUGGUUGGAUAGUGAUACUGAAGAGACAAAAGAUAAGUAAUGUACAUUAGAGAGACAACAUCUCACAUGACCAAUGCAACUAAUUUUCUAUUUGCUACACAUUUGUAUAAGAUUCUUGACACGCCAUGCAUUUCUUAAUACAUGUAGUAUUUUGCAAAUACUGCCCACCCAAGUAUCCAAGGUACCCUAUUUCAUUAUCAAACAAUGGAUAUGGUACUUCUAGUUGAUAAUAUCAUGUGUCAUUAACAACCCUGUCAAACUGAUACACUCAAAAGGAGGAAAGGAAUUAUGGAUAGUUAAACAUAGUAGCACUGACAUAAUAAUGUUUUGAUUUCCAUGAUAAAAUGGUGAACAUAAACGCAAGUCCAACAAAAUUCACCCAAAAACACAGCAUCUAGAAAGCAAAAAUACCAAGAAUUGUCCCUUGACUUUUGCAACUACGGUUGGGUAGAAGAGAUAGGAUUGCAUAAAAAAUACAUAACAAAAAUAGGACAAGUUGGCUAGUGAGAAAGAUCAUACACGCAAUAGAAAAAGGGAGAUGACAAAUUUGGUUUUUGUUGGCCAAGCAACAGAUAACCAAGUUGGAUUGUGAUACUCAUUAUGAGGAGUGGUAUUUCCACAUAACCAAUGCAACUAGUUUUCUAUUUGCUACAAAUCUGUCAAAGAAUCUUAACACAUCACACAUUCCAUAAUAUAGGGAGUAUAUCACAAAUACAGUCUGCCAAAUAAAAUAUAUGAUAUUUCUUAAUCAGACCAUUGAUUUGGUACUUCAAGUUGACUAUAUGGUGCGUCAUUAACAACCUUAAAUUCAUAAUGAACUCAGAAGCAAAAAAAGAAUGAAGCAUCGUGAAAUCCAAUAGCACUGACAUAACUAUGUCUUGAUUUCCUUUCUAAAAAGGUGAACAUAAUGCAAGCCCCAAAAAAAUCACACCAAAACACAACAGUCUGAAUGCAUAAAUAGCAAUGAUUGAUUCAAAAUACACAAAAUUAAAGUUCAAUUAAAUUUCCCUUCCAUUGAAUUCAUUUCGUAGACACCAGUUAGUAAAGGAGCAAAUCAUUUAAUAUAUAAAAAGUAGAUCAAAUCUAACACAAUUUUUAAAAAUUGUAGCAGAACCAUAGAAAAAUUGAAAUAGUUCUAUGGAGAUACGCUAAGAUAAAUAUAUUAUUUGGGAAUAACAUACAUAAAUUGGUUCCAUGGUAUAGUGGUUAGCACUGUAGACUUUGAAUCUGGCAACUUGGGUUCGAAUCCCGAUGGGACCUUUCUAUUUUUUUAUAGAAAGGGAAUUGUUGAUGUGUAAUCAAAUGGUCCAACCUUUUGAUUUUUAAAAGGUACAAUCUUGUUUUGUAGUUGACUUAUAGAAAAGGAGGUGAUGAGUACUCAGAAGGUUCAACCUUUUGAUUUUUAAAAAGUACAAUCAUAUUUUUGUAGUUCACUUCUCUGAGUAUUUAGUAUUUUAUGUGUAAUAUGAUUCUAAGAUAGGAUUGAGAGGUACAUAGGAAUGUAUUAAUACUAGACUUGGGUAGAAUAGUCAGAAAAAUAUGGAAUAGGAAUAGAACAACUUGGCUAGUGAGAUAUGACAUACAUGUGACAAAAAGGGAGAUGGUAAAUUUGGUGUUUACUGACCACCAAAAAGAUAAGUUGGUUGGAUAGUGAUACUCAAGAUACAAAAGAUAAGCAAUGUAUAUGAUAGAGACAACAUCUUCUCACAUGACCAAUGCAACUAAUUUUCUAUUUGCUACAUAUUUGUAUAAGAUCCAUGACACGACAUGCAUUACUAAAUAUACAGAGUAUUUUUGCAAAUACAAUCCACCCAAGUAUCCAAGAUACUAAAUUUCAUAAUCAAACAAUUGAUAUGGUACUUCCAAUUGAUAAUAUUGCGUGUCAUUAACAACCCUAUCACACUAAUACGCUCAGAAAGCAAAAAUAGAAAGAAUUAGGGAUAGUGAAACUUAGUAGCACUGACAGAAUAUUUUUUAUUUCCAUGAUAAAAAUGUUGAACAUAAACGCAAGUCCAACAAAUUCACCCCAAAACAUAACAUCAGAAAGCAAAAAUAUAAAGAAUUGUCCCUGCUUUCUGUAACUAGGGUUGGGUAGAGGAGAUAGGGUUGCACAAAAAUACAAAACAAGAAUAGGACAACUUGGCUAGUGAGAAAGGUCAUACAUGCAGAUGAACAAGUUGUCUUAUUGUCCACCCAACAGAUGAACAAAUUAGCUUGUGAUACUUAAUAUGCGGAGGAGUGGUAUUUCCACAUGACUAAUGCAUCUAAUUUUCUGUUUGCUAAAAAUUUGUAAAACAAGCUUAACACAUCACACAUUCUAAGUUGCACCAACAACUUUAUCAAUAGCCCAGUGAUGGUGUUUCCCCUCCUCGCUGGUGUUUGCCCUCCCGUCGUCUUGCCUUCCACCCCCACGUCAGCGCCGCCAUAGGCCUCGAUGGCCACAAUCAACCUCCCUUCCAUCCCCGACCAUCUUCUUCGACGCCAGUGUCAACCAAUCCCUCUCCAACCUUUACCAAACAUGCCUCGUGCGGCCGCUCGUGGGUAGAAGGGUGGCAGGACUCCUUGUCGGAGGAAGGUUUGGACGUCCCUCCUCGAAGAACCUCUAAAGGCUUUACCGCGACAUGGUGUCUUUUGGGAUGGACGGACAUCUUCCUGUUGUAGCUAAGGACGUGGUUCACGUUCUAGAACAGAUGGUGAUGUCGUUGGCGUGUUGCGAUCAAGAGUAGAGGAAGUCAACAAAGAGGACGUGCGGUCUGGAGCAGGGGACUGGUCCGACGGAACCAAGAAAAGCAUGCCUAGAAGACCAUGGUUGGAAAUUGGUAGAAUUUAGGCAUUCGAAGAGAAAACAUCUGAAUUGGGAUCGAUAGAGACAUGUUGUGUUGUUUGAUCUCAUCGGAAGAUGCUUUAACUUCCUCUCCUAGGGUCAUUUUGCCUUUCGGUGCCUGAAGAAGACUAGAUGCUUCCGCUACCAUGGCCCAGGACAUCUCUCCUAUAAUUAUGUGAAGACUAAAGAUUUAGUAUGGCAGAGAAUCACUACUGCUGUGUCACUCCGUGUGUGUGGAUUCUUAGUCUGGAGGAGGGUCAAACUACCGGCAGACAACUCAGUCAGUGACAACAAUUGGGGUGGUAGUUCUCGACCUGAGGCAAGAGCUUCGGUCUAGAGGAGAAUCACCCAGGCAGCCAUUCGGUCUGUCUAAGAGAAGCGGAUGACCAUCAGUAAAGAUCAGAUUUGCAGGCACAUUACCCAUCAUCAAUCCUCGGGUGAUGGCGCUUCGGGUGAUUGUCCUUCACAAGCUAGCGAGAGUGAUGCUGUUGGAGGUAAUCCCAAUAUUCUUAAGCAUGAUGGUGUUAGUUCCAAGAGAAAGCAGGUUAGGAAGCGACGUUCUAGAGCAAAGCCUAAGGGUGAUCUCGUUCCUUCAUCCUUGGAACGCCAGGAUUGCAUGGAGGCCCAUGAUGCAGUAGUUGCCCCAAUACACCAUGUACCGCCUUGCAUCUUGGGGUGGAUCCACCCAAUGAUGAGAGCGGAGGAUGAUCUUCAAAAUGCGAUUAUGGUGACAGUGACAAUUAUUAGUGACUGGGCUUUGGUACUAGCCUCGAGAUCGUUGAGUUGUUGGCCACGAGACUGGAGGUUGAAGAGAGCUCUUUGGUGUUGCGACACGCCUGAAUGUCAAAUUAUCUCCUUUUCCUCCCUACCCGAGCUUUGGUAGAGGAAUUGACUGGUAGAUGGUCUAUUCUCAUAGUAGGGUCGUUCACUGUGGUUUGCAAGAAGUGAUCUUGUCUCAUGGAGUCUAGGGGUUCCCUACUUCAUGUGAUGAUCAACGUUGAGAUCCAAGGAAUCCCUAUUCAUGUUUGGGAAACAAGCAUAGUGGAUCAUUUGCUAAACCCUUUUGCUUGGGUCCACCAAGUCCACCAUAAUACUUUGAAUUUGAAGGAUGUGGCGGUUUUUUGCUAUUCCGCUUGGUGUUUGGAUCCUUCUACUAUCCCUUCAUCUAAAUAAUUAUGGAUCGUCAAACUUCCUUUUGAAGUUGAGAGUGAUCCCGCAGGAAAAAGAGUGUUGGUUUAUUCAGUAGAAAUUGCGAUUUCGAUCACUCUCUAGCAGGAUGGCUCUAUUCCUAUUAAAAAGGAAAUGUGCCCUUGGGCCAUUUCUAUAAAUGUUUUGGUGAUUAGAUGCUCAACACAUAUUGUUUUGUGAUAAGUAUCAAAGAGAUGCAAAUGGAAAAGCAAGGUAUGACUUUGAGCCUUAGUAAAUUGUUUUGGUACUAACAUAUUCUUCUAAGUGCUAGGAACCUUGUCAAAUCGAGAGAAAUCGGAUCGAAGAAGUUUGGCUCAGGCGACUCAAACUUGCACGGUGUCCAGGCUGGCGCGCCCGAUGAACAGGCUGCUCUAGGGAAAAACUCAUCGCUCUGCGGUUAUAAUUCACCGAACUGUCCGGUGUGCACCGGACUGUCCAGUGAGCCCACGGCCAACAGUUGACUUCACCGUAGGGGGCCAACGGUCGACUGACACCGGAGUCAGAAACGGUCAGAAGGUCAGAAAUGGCCAGGGCACUGGAUUGUCCGGUGUGCAUCGGACAAUCUGGGUAGCGGUCGGAUCCAACGAUCGACUGCUACGUACCCCAACGGUCGGCUGACGUGGCAGGGCACCAAACAAUAAACAGUGCCUGUCCGAUGUGCACCGGACUAUCUGGUGUGCCCAUCGACAGAAAGCUGUUGUUUUUUGUCCAACGGCUAGAAAUGGGGUUGGGGCUAUAAAUACAACCCCAACCACCUCCAUUCAGUACAUUCAAGCCUUCCACUCUCACACAUUCAAUACAAGAGCAAAGAAUCAAUUCCAAUACACAUUCAAAGCUUCCAAUCUCCUCAAGUGCCACAUUAAGACAAGUGAUCAUUAAUGGUUAGUGACUUGAGAGAGCGUGAUUCAUGUUUCAUUUAUUGCUCUUGUUGCUUGGUCGUGCUUUCUUCAUCUCCUUCUAAACUCUCUAAGUGACUUGUAAAGCUAGCAAGAGACACCUAACUGUGUGGUGAUCCUUGCAGGGUCUUAGUGAUCCUUGAGAUUAAAAAGAAGCACUCAACUGGUCUAAGUGAUCGACUGAGAGAGGGAAAGGGUUGAAAAAGACCUGGCCUCCGUGGCCUCCUCAACGGGGAGUAGGUUCAUUGGAACCCAACCUCGGGAAACAAAUCGUCGUGUUCAUUUGUGUUGAUCAUUACUCUACUAUUUGGUUCUUCCUCUCCCCUCUCUCUAAAGUUCUGUUGCUCAAAAUCUUUUGAGUUUGCUCCCAAAGUUAUCUGCAUUGAUUGAGCAACUUAUUGCAAAAAGAACUUUCUUCCGCACUCUGUAUUCAUUAUAGUUUGUUUCUAAUCCUAACCCCAGGUGAAGUUCGUGUUCAAAGUUUAUAAUUUACAGGUUUCGCCUGUUCACCCCCCCCCCCCCCCCCCGCCCCCCGCCCCUUUAGUCGACUUUCACCUAUUUCUCUAUCUAUGGAAUCUGAGGAGGAUGAUCAAUCUUCGCAAAGCAGACGUCUGAUCUCUCAUUCUUAGGGGACUGAACGUGGGCUACGUGAUAGUGCCCAGGGGUCUGCUCGUCGUUUAGUUCAUGACCGAGUAGGUCUUAGGGAUGAUGGUGUUGGCUAGUCAAAUAAUUGUUCAGAUGAUAUGAGAGAUGGGAGAUAGAAUUCUGGUGUUGUGACUGAUGAAUCUGAUCUAGGGGAAAUGGCAGUGUUUCUGUGGUUGUGGAGGAAGGGGAAGGUGGUCUGCAGAUCCAAGAUGACAACCCUGCAGCUAUAUCCAUCAAUGAUACAGGAAAAAAAGGAUGUGGGUAAUCUUCUGGUUUGCUCUAGAAGAUGGCUUAAGGCGAAUGAUCAAACUCAGGAGUUGGAGACAAUAGAUGUUGAGGCUUCUGAUAGAAGGGGGGAGGACAAGAGGUCCCUUUUGGUGGCUGUUAAUCAGAUUACCCUUGUCCCCACCCCUCUCACCUUCAUCCACUCUAAGACUGAUAUGAGUCAAGAUGUUAAUCCUAAUUCUGGAACAAUGAAGAAUGUUUGUUCAACAAGAAACUUGUCGAGUGAGCCAAAUCUGGCCUCAAUGCAGGAUUUGUUCUUCAAGAAGUUAUCCAAGCAGAUAUCUAGGUUGCUUUUGGUCCCAAGUUCUCCUAAAAGAACAUUGCUAUCGAUGUUGGGGUUUGAGUUUGAGCAGUCACUGAUUCUUCUGUCUGAUGGGGCAAGGGGAGGUUUCUUGUUUGCUUGGAGACGUCAUAUUAAUGUUUCUCGGGCAACUAGAGUGGAUUCUUACAAUGUAACUGCCCAAUUAAAGCAAAAUAUUGGGCAGUUCUGGUGGUUAACAUGUGUCUAUGGGCCCCAAAGUUUUGUUUAUAAACUUUUCCUUCCUACAAGAAUUGAGGACAAUUAAAGAAACUGCCCUAGUCCAUGGGUAAUUGUUGAGGAUUUCAAUCUCAUUCUUAAUGAUGAGGACAAGAGCAAUAACAAUCUAAAUAGAGCUUUGAUGGGUCGAUUUCGGAAGUUGGUGAAUGAUUUAGGUCUUAUUGAUCUCCCCUGCAUGGAAGAAAAUUUACAUGGUCCAAUUUGCAAGACUCUCCCACUCUUGUUAAGCUUGACAGAGUUCUAUGCUCCAUUGAUUGGGAAGGGCUUAACCCAAAUGCUUUUGUUGUAGAGUGCUGCCACAUAUGACUCAGAUCACUACCCACUCAUUUUUUGUUUAAAUGAUAUUGUCCCUAGUAAAAGAAGAUUUCACUUUGAAUCAUAUUGGCCGAGAUCGGAAGGAUUUCUAGACACUCGUGCAUGAGUACUACUCUUCGUUGUUGGGUUGUUGUUUGGACAGAUCUACUACCAUUAAUGUUGAUGUUCUAGGGAUUCAGGCCCAUGAUCUUGCUACUUUGGACUCUCCUUUUAAAAAGCAUGAGAUUUGGGAGGGAAUUAAGGGACUGCCAUCCGAUAAAGCUCUUGGGUCGAAUGGUUUCACUGGCCUCUUUUAUAAGGUGUGUUGGUCUAUUAUCAAGGAUGAGGUUUUGGCAGCUAUUUCAACAGUUUGGAGCAGAAAAUUUGAUAACUUUGGUCGUCUGAACACAGCCUAAGUGACCCUUAUUCCUAAAAAGGAAGGAGCGGGGGAGGUUAAGGAUUUUUGUCCUAUCAGUUUAGUCCAUAGCUUUGCCAAGUUGAUCACCAAAAUUUUAGCCAACGGGUCCAGAAAAUUGCAGUCUAUGGUCUCCUUAAAGCAAAGUACUUUCAUCAAGGGUCGGUGUAUUCAAGAUAAUUUCAUGCUUGUUCAACAAACAACUUGUUUGCUCUAUCAACAAAAAGACCAAGAAUGUUGCUUAAGUUAGAUAUCACAAAGGCCUUUGAUUCGGUUUCAUGGUCAUUCUUGUUGAAAGUGAUGCAUGUGUUAGGCGUUGGGCAAAUAUGGCGUGAUAUUAUUAGUGGUCCGUUGGGCUCUUCUUCCAUUAUGGUCCUCUUGAAUGGAGUGUCAGGAAAGAUCAUCCAUCAUAAAAGGGGUUAAGGAAGGGGGGUCCUUUGUCUCCUAUGCUCUUUAUAUUGGUUAUGGAUGUCCUCGGUGGCAUGAUUUCCAAGCUGAAGAGGAGGGGCUGCUGCACUCCUUAUCUACGAGAAUGUUACAGCAUAGAAUCUCCCUUUAUAUAUGCAGAUGAUGUUUUGCUCUUCCUCCAUCCUAAGGAAGUGACAUCUAGGUGGUUCUUGGCAUCCUGCAUUUGUUUGGUGAGGCCUCAGGUUUGAAAACAAUGUGCACAAAAGUAGUGUUUACCCAAUCUACUGUGGUGAGCAAGAGAUUGAGGUCCUUCUGAAAGUGGCCUAGAGGGGGUGAAUAGGCUAAACCUAAAAAUUAUCACCACAAACUUCAAAAUAAUGUCAAAUCAACAGUUCGACUGUUGCAUGCUAGUUCAACUCGAUAGAGGCGAGUUUAACCACUCUGAACCAGUCCAACUGCAAGAGUAGAUCAAGGCUUCAAACAACGAGAAAACACAAUGAGAGAUUCCUUUAGAAAGGGAACGCGGAGGAUAAACUAAGUGUGGAUGGUGAGAAAUACAAGAGUAAAUAAACAAUGAGAUCCACACAAAGAACAACUCUUUAUGCCUUUCUUGCCAAUAGGUUUACCUCCUUCUUUGAAAAAAAGGAGAUGAUAAAUUUGGUGUUUACUAACCAACAAAGAGAUAACUUGGUUGGCUAGUGAUACUCAAGUGACAAAAGAUAAGAAAUAUACAUGAGAGAGACAACAUCUUCUUGCAUGUCCAAAGCAACUAUUUUUCUAUUUGCUACACAUUUGUAACAGAUUCUUAACACGCCAUACAUUUCUUAAUAUACACAACAUUUUGCAAAUACAGCCCACCCAAGUAUCCAAGAUAUUAUAUUUCAUAAUCAAACAAUUAGCAUGGUACUUCCAGUUGAUAAUAUUAUGCAUCAUUAACAACCUUAUCACCAUGAUACACUCAAAAGGAGAGAAAGAAUUAGGGAUAAUGAAACUUAGUUGCACUGACAUAACAAUGUUUUGAUUUCCAUGAUAAAACAGGUGAACAUAAAUGCUAGUCCAACAAAUUCACCCCAAAACACAACAUCCAGAAAGCCAAAAUAGUAAGAAUUGUCCCUUGCUUUUCUGCUACUAGGCUUGGAUAGAGGAGAUAGGAUUGCACAAAAAUACAGAACAUGAAUAGGAGAACUUGGCUAGUGAGAAAGGUCAUACAUGCAACAGAAAAAGGGAGAUGACAAAUUUGGUUUUUUGUUGGCCACCCAACAAAUAUGCAAGUUGGCUUAUGAUACUCAAUAUAUGGAGGAGAGGUAUGUCCACAUGCCAAUGCAACUAGUUUUCUACUUGCUACAAAUUUGUAAAAGAAGCUUAAUACAACACAUUCCUUAAUAUAUGGGAUAUUUUGCAAAUAUAGCCUACCAAAGCAAAUAUACUAUAUUUCUUAAUCAGAGAUUGAUAUAGUACGUCGAGUUGCCUAUAUGGUGUGUCAUAAACAACCUUAUAAUCAUAAUGCACUUGAAAGCUUAAAAGAAUGAAGCAUAGUAUAAUCCAAUAGCACUGACUUAACUAUGUCUUGAUUUCCCUACUAAAAAUGUGUACAUAAACGCAAGCCCAAAAUAAUCUCACCAAAACACAAUAGGCCAAAUACCUAAAUAGAAAUGAUUGAUUCAAAAUACACAAAAUUCAACCGGAAUCAAAUUUCCCUUCCAUUGAAUUCAUUAUGUAGACACCACUUAGUAAAGGAGCAAGUUGCAUUAGUUAGUAUAUAGAAAAUAAAUAAAUUCUAACACAACUAUUUGUAAUGGUAGAAAUAACAUAGAAAAAAUGAGACAGUGCUAUGGAGAUAAGUUAUAAUAAAUAUAUUAUCUAGGAAUAACUUACAUAAAAUGGUUCCAUGGUGUAGUAGUUAUCACUCCAGACUUUGAAUCUGGCAACCUGGGUUCGAAUCCCGGUGGGACCUAUUUUAUUUUAUAUAGAAAGGGAAUUGGUGAUGUGUACUUAGAAGGUCCAUCCUUUUGGCUUUUUUUAAAGUACAACCAUAGUUGUGUAGUUCACUUAUAAAAAGGGAAUUUGUGAUGUGUACUCAGAAGGUGCAAUCUUUUGAUUUUUAAAAAGUACAAUCAUAUUUAUGUAGUUCAAUUCUUUGAGUACUUAAUCUAUUAUAUGUGUUGUAUGAUUCUAAGAUAGAAAGAGCGAGAGGUAUAUAGAAAUGUCUUAAUGGUAUUUCCCCUUGCACUGUGCAACUAGACCUGGGGUAGAAUAGUCAGAAAAAUAUAGAAUUGGAAUAGGAUAGCUCGGCUAGUGAGAAAUGACAUACAUGUGACAAAAAGGGAGAUGAUAUAUUUGCCGUUUAUUGACCACCAAAGAGAUAAGUUGGUUGGAUAGUGAUACUCAGGAGACAAAAGAUAAACAAUAUACAUGAGAUACAACAUCUUCUCGCAUGACCAAUAAUUUUCUAUUUGCUACACAUUUGUAAAAGAUUCUUGACACCCCAUGCAUUUCUUAAUAUGUAGAGUAAAAUGCAAAUACAGCCCACCCAAAUAUCCAAUAUAUUAUAUUUCAUAAUCAAACAAUUGACAUGGUACUUCCAAAUGAUAAUAUUAUGCACCAUUAACAACCCAAUCACAUUGAUACCCUCAAAAGGAUGGAAAGAAUUAGGGAUAGCGAAACCUAGUAGAACUGACAUAACAAUGUUUUGAUUUCGAAGAUAGAAAUGGAGAACAUAAAAGCAAGUCCAGCAAAUUCACCCCAAAACACAACAUGAAGAAAGCAAAAAUAGCAAGAAUUGUCCCUUGAUUUCUGCAAGUAGGGUUGUAUAGAGGAGAUAGGAUUGCACAAAAAUACAGAACAAGAAUAGGACAACUUGGCUAGUGAGAAAGGUCAUACAUGCAACAGAAAAAGGAAAAGAUCAAUCAAAGCUUUGUUGUCCAAAGCAAAAGGAGUUUACUUAAGAAAAUUGUGACUAUAAUUGAACAACGUUGGGAGAUACAAAUGGAUCACCUAUUGUAUGGGGCUGCAAUGUAUUUGAACCCAGGAAAGUUGCAUCUUCUCAUAAGAAAUGAUGAUGCUACUAUUGGGCAUCUAAGAGCUUUUUUAUGUGCUUGCAAGAAUGGUAGAUGAUGAGGAAACUAGAGACAAGAUUAAUUCUCAAGCAAUGGAUUAUGAGUUUCUUAGAGGAGUAGCUUUUUUCAAAUAAGAUGGCCAAAGAUAACCUACAAACUAUGACCCCACGUAAGUGUUUGUGGCUGUUACUACUUACUAGAUGUUGUCUGUUGUUUGUGGCUGCUAGAGUAGCUGCUGUUUUUGGCUGCUACUCUACUAGUAGCUGUUGUUGUUAGUAGAUGCUAGUACCUGCUAGUUGGCAAUAGUUGGUUAGGUGCUACUAGUUGUUGUUUUGUGGCUUUUAUACUUGUUGCUAGUAGCUGCUGCUGUUGUGGGGCUAAUAUAAUUUGUAAUUCCAGCAAGUAGCUGUUGCUCUUGGCUUGCUAAAUUAUUGUGUUGUUAUUUGCAGUUGAGUGGUGGCGUUAGUAUGGUGAUCGUGCUAUUAAAUUACAGAGAUUUGUUAGGCGUUUGGUGAGUCUUUGUGUCAUCAUCAUGUUGUGAACGCAAUUGGAGUACCUUUGAAUUUGUAAGUUAUUAUGUGUGCCUCCUCAAGUUCACAUCUACAUACUUGGCUACUUUUGUAACCAAUAUUUCAGGAAUUAGUGAUUAGGUGUUUUCCUAUUUUGUAGAUCUAUACAAAAAAGAAACCAUUUGUUGCAUAAGAGGUUCAAUUCUAUUGUCUUCACUUCCUAUAACCGAAAGAUGAAAGCUAGGUUCCAAAACCUACGCCAGAAGAAGGGGAAAAAUUUUGAUCCAUUGGUUCAUGAGGACUUCAACUGGGACAAUGAGUGGGCUGAUUCUUUGCAUGUAGGCCACGAAGGUGGACGUGGGUGUGAGUGUGACCUUACAUGAUACCUUGUGGAUAAUGCCAUUGGAGCAUCAAAAACACUUCGUGGCCGAAACUUACCAAUAAGAUCAUAUAAUAUGUAUUCAAGGAGAAAUUCGGUUACUGCACAAAAUGUGUCAGAGGCUGAAGAGGAAGAUAAAGAUGAAGAAAAUGAUCCACAUGAUGAUGCAGAAAUCACAGAUUGUGAAGAUGAACCUAAUGGUGGCAAUGAUGGUGAAGGGGAGGCACCCAAUACCCCAGGAGAGUUUGAUGAUGAUUUUUGAGACAUGGGAGACUAGCUAUUGCUAGAUUGCAUUAGCAUAUUUGCUGCAUUAGCAGCUACAGCUAGUUACUAUUAAUUAUGCCAUUAGAAACUAUCUAUGUGGCUAUUUCAGAUUUGAUAUUAUGUUGCUUUAUAUUUUGUUCCUUUAGAGACUACUUUGUGGCCAUUUCAGAUCCACUAUUGUGAUGAUUUAUAGUUUAUGAGUUGUUUGGUUGCUUGGUUUUAUUUCCUUGUUAUACAGGAUGUUUAUAGAAUGUAUGUUGGUUGGCUGCUGCAGUUUGGCUAGUAAGGCAUCGCCUAGCGCUCGCCUAAGUCGCCUAGGCGUUCAGGCGGUGGCUGGGCGCCUAGUUUUGCCUAGCCGCCUUUAAAACCAUGCCUAGUACGUUGUUUGCACCACAUAUUUUGCUGAACCCUCAAACAUGGCCUCCAAAAUCUUGUAGUUAAAUACAAAACGAUCCGCACAAUGAGAUGAAACUAAAAAUACCCUAAAUAUAUUGACACUAACAACAAGGAAUGACACCAUCACAAAUAUGCAAUUAAGAGAUAAAGUUAGUUAAGGAUGGUGUCAAGGUUGUGUACAUCACAUCGUCACCAACGGCCACACAUUUGUGUAGUAUUUCUGGCCCUGCUUUGCAAAAUAUUCCUAAUUUUGUUAGGUUUUGGGGAGCAUGAUGUAUAGAAUGUUUCUAAUUGUGUUAUGUUUUGUAGACCAUGUCGCAUACAAUGUUUCUAAUUUUGUUACGUUUUACGGGACGUGAUGCAUUGAACACUCCUAAUUUUGUUAUGUUUUGUAGACCAUGUUGCAUAGAACAUUCAUAAUUGUGUUACGGAAGUUAAGCAUCUUUGAAUAUAUUUCUAGGAAUUUACACAUACAAACUAUCCAAGUUCUAAAUUUCCAACACAAGUUAGUUAGCAAUUGGCACUUAGACCUAAUUAAUCAGGCUCUUAGGGCUAGUUUGGAAAACUCAAAUCUCUCCUGAUAGCCCUUAAUACAUGAGCAACGAGCAAACAAAAAUACUACAAGAUGCAGGAAUUAACGAGACAAUGAUAGUACCUUUAAAGCUUGACAUGAAAUGUGUUGGCACGAUGGCACCAAAAGAAGCCACCACAACAGGUACGCAUCAGGACAUGACACAACAGCUGUGUAUCAAAUAGGCAUCCGAAA